CAACUGAUGAAUUACUGAAUUCUACGUCUGAAACUAAUGACGUUACUAUAUAUGGGCUAACUGAAUUUAAAUUAAAAAAGAAGAAAAUGGCAAAAUUAC
Mustela erminea (ermine) is the source of this 99-nucleotide long non-coding RNA. RefSeq lists it as uncharacterized. NCBI's taxonomy places the organism in Eukaryota, Metazoa, Chordata, Mammalia, Carnivora, Mustelidae. The transcript has 3 exons. The record is from RefSeq and is a predicted model, not a curated record.